RNAcentral lists this ribosomal RNA (643 nucleotides) under uncultured Actinomycetes bacterium. Its description in RNAcentral is "bacterial SSU rRNA". It matches the Rfam family "Bacterial small subunit ribosomal RNA", at positions 232 to 885 of the family's 1533-position model. Lineage: Bacteria; Bacillati; Actinomycetota; Actinomycetes. The record is from RNAcentral.
CGCGGCCUAUCAGCUUGUUGGUGAGGUAACGGCUCACCAAGGCGACGACGGGUAACCGGCCUGAGAGGGUGACCGGUCACACUGGGACUGAGACACGGCCCAGACUCCUACGGGAGGCAGCAGUGGGGAAUAUUGCACAAUGGGCGCAAGCCUGAUGCAGCAACGCCGCGUGAGGGAUGACGGCCUUCGGGUUGUAAACCUCUUUUAGCAGGGAAGAAGCGAAAGUGACGGUACCCGCAGAAAAAGCACCGGCUAACUACGUGCCAGCAGCCGCGGUAAUACGUAGGGUGCAAGCGUUGUCCGGAAUUAUUGGGCGUAAAGAGCUCGUAGGCGGUUUGUCACGUCUGCUGUAAAAAUCCAAGGCUCAACCUUGGACUUGCAGUGGGUACGGGCAGGCUAGAGUGCGGUAGGGGAGAUGGAAAUUCCUGGUGUAGCGGUGGAAUGCGCAGAUAUCAGGAGGAACACCAAUGGCGAAGGCACAUCUCUGGGCCGUAACUGACGCUGAGGAGCGAAAGCGUGGGGAGCGAACAGGAUUAGAUACCCUGGUAGUCCACGCCGUAAACGGUGGGUGCUAGCUGUGGGCCACAUUCCACGUGGUCCGUGACGAAGUUAACACAUUAAGCACCCCGCCUGGGGAGUACGG